Molecule: RNA transcript, 2932 nt
Organism: Ipomoea nil (Japanese morning glory)
Lineage: Eukaryota; Viridiplantae; Streptophyta; Magnoliopsida; Solanales; Convolvulaceae
Gene name: pentatricopeptide repeat-containing protein At3g49170, chloroplastic-like
Exons: 3
Source: RefSeq, a predicted model, not a curated record
CCACCUCUGACGAGGCUAAGCACGCCCCAACAAGAGAGAAGGCUAGUGAGGGAAAAAUUAGAUCCCAAAGGUAAAGGAUCGCGAGUUGCAAACGAGGCCAAGAGAAAAAAACUCGUCAGGGAAGAGCAAGAGUCUUCAGUACCUCUCUCUCGAUACUCAUCGUCUCCGAUUACUCCAGCUGGUGGCUACGAUUGGCGACAAAUACUCCAGCUCGGCAGCUGGGCGAAGUGGGCGACUAACGACCGUACUACUGCUGCGAAUCGGCAGGUGUUUGAUGAAAUUCAUCACUGAAGAAACAAAAGAAGCAUCAAUUUUUAUAUCUUUACAAGAGUGAUAAAGCCUUGAACUCAGAAAUGCUAUACACAUAUGAUUCAACUCAUAUUCACCAGCUUUAUGAGUUCUACUCUGAAAUUAGAUGAUAAUUACUGCUAUACCAUUAGAGUUUCUCUUAAUCAUACUUGAAAUCCUGCCAUGUCUGAUAUUGGACAGUGCAGAAGGCACAAACUAUUCCAUUGUGUCUUCAUUCCCUAGACGUGGAAGAUGGUGCCAGAAACUAUUGCUUCACUUUUGCAUCACUGCUCUAAGACUAAGGCACUCCGAUGUGGCCUUUCUCUUCAUUCUGCUGCUAUUAAGACUGGCUUGCAGUGUGAUGUUUUCACCUCCAAUCAUGUCCUCAACAUGUAUGCUAAGUGUGGCAAUAUCAAAUUUGCCAGCCAAGUGUUCGAUGAAAUGUCUGAGAAAAAUCUUGUGACGUGGUCAGCAAUGAUCUCUGGUUAUGAUCAAGCUGGGAAGCAUAUGAUGGCUAUCAACCUCUUUUCUCAGAUGCAUCUAGAGCCAAAUGAAUAUAUACUUGCUAGCAGUUUAAGUUCCUGUGCUAAUCUCUUGGCGCUGAAAGAUGGGCAACAGAUCCAUUGUAAGUCUAUCAAAUUAGGUUACUCUUCUGUCUCUUUUGUUUCCAACUCGCUAAUGUCAAUGUAUAUGAAAUGUAGCAAAUGUGAUGAUGCUUUAUCAAUUUUCACUAGUGCAUCAGAACCUAGUGCUGUUUCUUUUAAUGCAAUAAUUACUGGUUUGGUAGAAAAUAAUCACAAACAAAGAGCAUUUGAGAUGUUCAAACUUAUGUGCCGACAAGGUUUGAUUCCAGACCGGUUCACUUUUGUGGGAUUAUUAGGAACUUGCUGCACUGCAGAGGACUUGGGAUUAGGGAUGAGUUUGCAUGGCCAGACAAUCAAGCUACAACUUGACUCAACUGCUUUCAUGGGAAACAUAUUAAUUACAAUGUACUCAAAGUUGAAUUUGAUUGACGAAGCAGAGAAGGUUUUUAGAUUGAUAAGUAAGAGAGAUAUUAUUUCAUGGAACACUCUGAUUGCUGCCUGUUCUAAUUGUGAUGAUCACCAAAAAGCCUUAAGCAUUUUUAGAGAUAUGGUGAAACAAUUUUUUGGCAAGAUUGAUGACUUCACCUAUGCCAGUGUUCUUUCUGUAUCUGCUGGUUUGGCUUCAAUAAACCUAGGUGGCGAGCUACAUGCUCAUUUGAUUAGAAGAAGGCCAAGUGUAGAUGUAGCUGUUGGCAAUGCCUUAGUUAACAUGUAUGCUAAAUGUGGUUGUAUGCAACGUGCUUAUACUGUUUUUAAGCUAAUGCAUUGUCGUAAUCUGGUUUCUUGGAAUACCAUCAUCGCUGGAUUUGCGAACCAUGGUCAUGGAAGAAAAGUAAUAAAAAUGUUUGAGGAGAUGAAGAAACUUGGUCUGACGCCAGAUUCUGUUACAUAUCUAGGACUUUUAACUGCUUGCAAUCAUGCGGGGCUUGUAGAUGAGGGCCAAUCUUUCUUCAUUUCCAUGAAAGAGAUUCAUGGGAUCUCCCCUAAUAUUGAGCACUUCUCUUGCCUAAUUGAUCUUCUGGGACGAGCUGGGAGACUGAAAACUGCCGAAGAAUAUAUGCAAGCGUAUCCUUUUGGGAAUGAUCCAGUUGUUCUAGGCUGCUUACUUUCUGCAUGUCGGCUUCAUGGGGAUGUUGCCAUAGGGGAGCGGCUAGCUAAGAGGCUUCUCAUGCUUGAGCCUGUUUCCACUUCACCGUAUGUUUUACUGUCUAAUUUAUAUGCAUCAGAUGGGAUGUGGGGUUGUGUUGCUGAGGCAAGAAAAUUGUUGAAGGGGAGUGGUCUGAAGAAGGAGGCUGGCCAGAGUCUGAUUGAAGUCAAGGGAUCUGUCGAAAAGUUUACUAUAGGUGAUUUUUCCCAUUCAAGGAUCAAGGAGAUACUGCAUGUACUCAGAAGUUUAAGCUCGAUAUGGGAUGAAGAAUAUCAAAGCCAUUGAUUUGUCUGAAGGAGAGCCUUUGGUAGUCAAAUUCGGGUUAAAAUUCCUGAACCGGGACGUGGCGGUUGACGGCAACGGUAGAGAGUCUGGAGACGUUGGCGGGGGCCUCAGGAAGAGUUAUCUUUUCUGUCUAACUAUCUAAAGAGUGGUACAAUUCCAGAUCUUUCCUAAGGAUAGUUGGAAUACAUACUAUCACAUACUUCAUACAAUCACACAAGAUUAUGUAAGGUACAUUGGUGGUGAAAGCCUGAAGAUACAAAAUGCUGUCAGUUGUUUGGUGGCAAUUAUGAUUUCUGCUGUGGCAUAAAUCAUCUCACUUAAGAGUUUUUUUCUUUCAAAAGGUUGAAUCCUCAACCCCAAGGGUCCUCUACACCCUGGCCUGAUAGAGCAUUUGAGAGGAUGUAAAGACAGUUUUCAUUAAUUGGGAUGCCUGCCUGCCUUUGGUGUUCAGCGCACUAUUUGUUCCUUGGAUUCAUACGUAACCAAUCGUUAUACCAUGGACCGACCCCUGCCCCCUUGUAAGGCCAAUCACUGACAUAAAGUACAAUUUUAAAUACAUUGAAUGUUCAUUUUUUGAAGGUUCAUUAUUUGUGUACUAAGGAAACUUUCAGUAUAUUAAAAAUGAACA